RNAcentral lists this ribosomal RNA (339 nucleotides) under uncultured bacterium. Its description in RNAcentral is "bacterial SSU rRNA". It matches the Rfam family "Bacterial small subunit ribosomal RNA", at positions 1 to 334 of the family's 1533-position model. The record is from RNAcentral.
CGAUCACGUUCAGAGUUUGAUCCUGGCUCAGGACGAACGCUGGCGGCGUGCCUAACACAUGCAAGUCGAACGGGGUUGAGGAGCUUGCUCCUGAACUUAGUGGCGGACGGGUGAGUAACGCGUGAGUAACCUGCCUCUGAGAGGGGAAUAACGUUCUGAAAAGAACGCUAAUACCGCAUAACACAUAUUUGCCGCAUGACAGAUAUGUCAAAGAUUUUAUCGCUCAGAGAUGGACUCGCGUCCGAUUAGUUAGUUGGUGAGGUAACGGCUCACCAAGACCGCGAUCGGUAGCCGGACUGAGAGGUUGAACGGCCACAUUGGGACUGAGACACGGCCCAG